UACGGGGGGGGCAAGCGUUGUUCGGAAUUACUGGGCGUAAAGGGUUUGUAGGUGGCUUGCUAAGUCAGACGUGAAAUCCCUCAGCUUAACUGGGGAACUGCGUCUGAGAUUGGCAAGCUCGAGUGCAGGAGAGGAACGCGGAAUUCCAGGUGUAGCGGUGAAAUGCGUAGAUAUCUGGAGGAACACCGGUGGCGAAGGCGGCGUUCUGGACUGCAACUGACACUGAAAAACGAAAGCCAGGGGAGCAAACGGG
This 253-nucleotide ribosomal RNA is filed under the name uncultured bacterium. RNAcentral describes it as "partial 16S ribosomal RNA". It matches the Rfam family "Bacterial small subunit ribosomal RNA", at positions 524 to 776 of the family's 1533-position model. The record is from RNAcentral.